GGGGAUGUAAAGGUUUCGACGGGGAAGCGUAAGUUGGGUAAGCGGGCGGAGGAUUGCGCUUAUCUCCGAAACGAUGCGCUACGUUUAUAAAUUUAAACGACGAACAACCUCAGUUAAUGGCUGCCUAACUUAUUGCGCGGGUAACCGUGCGUAAGUUAGCAGUUCCGGGCGUUUUUUAACCCCCGGCGUCUGAAAUCGGUUGAGUACUGCGGCUUCCGACAGGCGAGACAAAAGCAGUCCACGUUUUUCGGUAUACGCCUGUAACCGAAAAACGUAUUACAGGCUACCGACGGUUAGGGUCUGUGCCGAUACCCUCGCUGUCGGGAACUUUGAAUCGGUGCUGCGCCCGGAGAAAACCCUCCUGAAAUGUUCUCGGACACGGGUUCGAUUCCCGUCAUCUCCAUAC
RNAcentral lists this transfer-messenger RNA (406 nucleotides) under Ruminococcus sp. It matches the Rfam family "transfer-messenger RNA". From Rfam's summary of the family: Bacterial tmRNA, also known as 10Sa RNA or SsrA, is named for its dual tRNA and mRNA-like properties. Its role is to liberate the mRNA from a stalled ribosome. To accomplish this part of the tmRNA is used as a reading frame that ends in a translation stop signal. The record is from RNAcentral. Lineage: Bacteria; Bacillati; Bacillota; Clostridia; Eubacteriales; Oscillospiraceae.